CUCAGCAUAUCUAUUAAGCGGAGGAAAAGAAACCAACAGGGAUUGCCUCAGUAACGGCGAGUGAAGCGGCAAAAGCUCAAAUUUGAAAUCUGGCCCUUUCAGGGUCCGAGUUGUAAUUUGCAGAGGAUGCUUCGGGAGCGGCGGCGGUCUAAGUCCCCUGGAACGGGGCGUCAUAGAGGGUGAGAAUCCCGUCUUGGACCGCAUGCCCGUGACCGUGUGAAGCUCCUUCGACGAGUCGAGUUGUUUGGGAAUGCAGCUCAAAAUGGGUGGUAAAUUUCAUCUAAAGCUAAAUACUGGCUGGAGACCGAUAGCGCACAAGUAGAGUGAUCGAAAGGUUAAAAGCACCUUGAAAAGGGAGUUAAAUAGCACGUGAAAUUGUUGAAAGGGAAGCGCUUGCAACCAGACUCGGCCGCAGAGGCUCAGUGGGCACGUGUGCCCAUGCACUCCUCUGUGGUCGGGCCAGCAUCAGUUCUGACGGCCGGUCAAAGGCCCCCGGAAUGUAUCCUCCUCCGGGAGGUCUUAUAGCCGGGGGUGCAAUGCGGUCAGUCGGGACUGAGGAACGCGCUUCGGCACGGAUGCUGGCGUAAUGGUUGUAAGCGACCCGUCUUGAAACACGGACCAAGGAGUCUAACAUCCACGCGAGUGUUAGGGUGUCAAACCCUUGCGCGCAGUGAAAGCGAACGGAGGUGAGAUCCCCGCAAGGGGCGCAUCAUCGACCGAUCCUGAAGUCUUCGGAUGGAUUUGAGUAAGAGCGUGGCUGUUGGGACCCGAAAGAUGGUGAACUAUGCCUGAAUAGGGUGAAGCCAGAGGAAACUCUGGUGGAGGCUCGCAGCGGUUUCUGACGUGCAAAUCGAUCGUCAAAUUUGGGUAUAGGGGCGAAAGACUAAUCGAACCAUCUAGUAGCUGGUUCCUGCCGAAG
RNAcentral lists this ribosomal RNA (919 nucleotides) under Gymnascella littoralis. RNAcentral describes it as "LSU rRNA". It matches the Rfam family "Eukaryotic large subunit ribosomal RNA", at positions 34 to 966 of the family's 3401-position model. Lineage: Eukaryota; Fungi; Ascomycota; Eurotiomycetes; Onygenales; Gymnoascaceae. The record is from RNAcentral.